UCCUCAUCGCAAAGUCCAUACUGACAACUCCAAGUUUGUGAUGUCUUCAAACUGUUUAACGGCUAAUCUUUUGGUGAAGAUAUUCGCAAAUUAAGCUGGUCCUUUGUAGAAAGUGAGGGCAAAUCAACCUCUUUAUCUAUAAUUUCAUCUGUUGGUAUCAUUUUUUACUCAUCUAAAAUAUCCCAUAAAUCUUAGCCUUUCAAACAAGACUUGAUAAGAGUCUUUCAAUAUGGAU
RNAcentral lists this long non-coding RNA (235 nucleotides) under Elaeis guineensis (African oil palm). Its description in RNAcentral is "long non-coding RNA (EGUI_LNC044749)". Lineage: Eukaryota; Viridiplantae; Streptophyta; Magnoliopsida; Arecales; Arecaceae. The record is from RNAcentral.